This 698-nucleotide ribosomal RNA is filed under the name uncultured Methanocorpusculum sp. Its description in RNAcentral is "bacterial SSU rRNA". It matches the Rfam family "Archaeal small subunit ribosomal RNA", at positions 203 to 905 of the family's 1478-position model. The record is from RNAcentral. Lineage: Archaea; Methanobacteriati; Methanobacteriota; Methanomicrobia; Methanomicrobiales; Methanocorpusculaceae.
CUUAGGAUGGGACUGCGUCCGAUUAGGUUGUUGGCGGGGUAACGGCCCACCAAGCCUUUUAUCGGUACGGGUUGUGGGAGCAAGAUCCCGGAGAUGGAUUCUGAGACAUGAAUCCAGGCCCUACGGGGCGCAGCAGGCGCGCAAACUUUACAAUGCGAGCAAUCGUGAUAAGGAAACCCUGAGUGCCUGUCGAUGCAGGCUGUUCAUAUAUCUAAAUCAUAUGUGAAGAAAGGGCAGGGCAAGACCGGUGCCAGCCGCCGCGGUAAUACCGGCUGCUCGAGUGAUGGCCACUAUUACUGGGUUUAAAGCGUCCGUAGCUUGACUGUUAGGUCUCUUGGGAAAUCUUCGCGCUCAACGUGAAGGCGUCUAAGAGAUACCGGCAGUCUUGGAACUGGGAGAGGUAAACCGUACUUCGGGGGUAGGAGUGAAAUCUUGUAAUCCUCGAGGGACGACCUAUGGCGAAGGCAGUUUACCAGAACAGCUUCGACAGUGAGGGACGAAAGCUGGGGGAGCAAACGGGAUUAGAUACCCUGGUAGUCCCAGCCGUAAACAAUGUGCGUUAGGUGUGUCGGUAACCACGUGUUACUGAUGCGCCGAAGAGAAAUCGUGAAACGCACCACCUGGGAAGUACGGUCGCAAGGCUGAAACUUAAAGGAAUUGGUGGGGGAGCACCACAACAGGUGGAGCCUGCGGUUUAA